GUAUUUAAAUUGCCAAAAUUGAACAAAUGUAGUUUUCAAGAAAUAACUCAGCAACCAAAAGUGCACAUAUAAAAGAGAGACUGACAGAUUCGCUUCUUCAUUUUGACUUCAAGUUUUCUGGGAAAUAUCUAAGUGGCCAAGAGGAGACAUUUGAACCAAUAUAGGUGAUACUAUUUUGCUAUUCACUUAAUUCAAGUUUUUAAGGGAAUAUAUAGAUCAGUGGCCAAGAGGAGACAUAUAAACGUACGUGACUCAGACUAUUUCAAUUUGCUUACAAUGAAGGACUCGAAUUGGGUGAUGAGUAUACAUUCAAUAUGCUCGAAUUACAAAAGACAGAGAAAGAGAAUGCCAAGAAGAGCAAGAAAUUUGAAGAACACAAUGAAGGAAAAUCUAGAAAGGACCAAGAGGGCUCUUUCAAGAAGACAUUACCUACCAAACAAAAGCAACAGAGUAUUCAUGGGUUUCUUCAAGGUUGUGAUGCUUAGGAAGUUGGAGUUGAAGUGAUUCUUGGAAUCUUAGACCCCUCAAGGUAUGUAAACGAUUUCUACCCUUGAAUUUGAGUUUAUUAUCAAGAGUUCUAGUGAUUUUAAGUAGAGAGAGGAUACUUAUGGAAGUGGUAAGUUGAUAAGGGUAAUAUAGUGAUUUGGGGUUAUUUUAAGAGAUGAUUGAAAAUGGAUUUAAGUAUAUUUUGAUAUAUAUAUAUAUGUGUGUGUGUGUGUGUGUGUGUCCGUGUGUGUUGUCAUUGUGUUGUGGGUAUUGUGGUUGAUGUUAGAUUGAAUAGGAAGUCGAAGGGUUGUUGAGCUUACAAGGGAAAUGUUGUCCAUAGUUUGUUAAGCUCUAUAUGUAUUUAAAGAUGGUUAGUAAGCGAGGCAAAUAGUCUAAUUAAGGCCCAUGUUA
This is a long non-coding RNA of Lycium ferocissimum, 897 nucleotides long. RefSeq lists it as uncharacterized. Lineage: Eukaryota; Viridiplantae; Streptophyta; Magnoliopsida; Solanales; Solanaceae. The transcript is spliced from 3 exons. The record is from RefSeq and is a predicted model, not a curated record.